Molecule: unclassified non-coding RNA, 439 nt
Filed under: fungal sp.
Lineage: Eukaryota; Fungi
Description: partial internal transcribed spacer region
Rfam family: Eukaryotic small subunit ribosomal RNA (bases 1-46)
Source: RNAcentral
AAGUCGUAACAAGGUUUCCGUAGGUGAACCUGCGGAAGGAUCAUUUCCGAAAAAAAAACAAACAAAAACUAUAUCAACCCACAGUGUGCUUGGUUUUGGGUUUCCUUUUUUUUUUACUCUUUCAUGGAUAUAUGUGUGCGUUUCGGAUAUGGAGAUGUAUAUAUAUACACAUACACAAAAGGUGUUAGGGUUUGCAUGUGGCAACAUGUGCUACCCCCCCCACCGAUUGUGUGUGAUUGUGUGUGCAUCUCUAUUGACAAGGCAUAUAUACACCAUGAGAGAGGCCUUGAUGAACUACCUCUGUGUUCUCUCAUAUACAUAUACAUAUAUGUGAGCGCAUAAGGUUGAUGUACCAUGUAGUGAUACUUUUUUACAACAGUAAAAAAAUAUAAAUUAUACAAUGAUACGACAACUUUUAACGGUGGAUCUCUUGGCUCGU